Molecule: ribosomal RNA, 254 nt
Filed under: uncultured bacterium
Lineage: Bacteria
Description: partial 16S ribosomal RNA
Rfam family: Bacterial small subunit ribosomal RNA
Source: RNAcentral
UACGGGGGGAGCAAGCGUUGUUCGGAUUUACUGGGCGUAAAGGGCGCGUAGGCGGUCAGCACAAGUCAGUUGUGAAAUCUCCGGGCUUAACUCGGAAAGGUCAACUGAUACUGUGCGACUAGAGUGCAGAAGGGGCAACUGGAAUUCUCGGUGUAGCGGUGAAAUGCGUAGAGAUCGGGAAGAACAUCGGUGGCGAAAGCGCUCUACUGGACCGCAACUGACACUCAGGGACGAAAGCUAGGGGAGCGAAUGGG